Molecule: non-coding RNA, 25 nt
Filed under: Mus musculus (house mouse)
Lineage: Eukaryota; Metazoa; Chordata; Mammalia; Rodentia; Muridae
Source: RNAcentral
UGCAGCAUCGUUCUUGCUGGCGAGU